CAGCAGCCACGGUAAUACGUAGGUGGCAAGCGUUAUCCGGAAUUAUUGGGCGUAAAGCGCGCGUAGGCGGUCUUUUAAGUCUGAUGUGAAAGCCCACGGCUCAACCGUGGAGGGUCAUUGGAAACUGGAAAACUUGAGUGCAGAAGAGGAAAGUGGAAUUCCAUGUGUAGCGGUGAAAUGCGCAGAGAUAUGGAGGAACGCCAGUGGCGAAGGCGACUUUCUGGUCUGUGACUGACGCUGAUGUGCGAAAGCGUGGGGAUCAAACAGGAUUAGAUACCCCUGUAGUCCCUGUCUCUUAUAC
This 301-nucleotide ribosomal RNA is filed under the name uncultured bacterium. RNAcentral's name for it is "partial 16S ribosomal RNA". It matches the Rfam family "Bacterial small subunit ribosomal RNA", at positions 509 to 807 of the family's 1533-position model. The record is from RNAcentral.